GUAGCCGUGCGGGCCGCGCCGCGGCUCUCGGUCUCCCUCGGUCCUCAGGACCGGCGCGCCGGCCGGAGGAUCCCCCCCUCCCCACACCGGAAGUGCUCGGCCGAGGGGCCGGGCCCGGCGGAGGCCGCGGUCGGCGGGAGGCCGCGGGGCGCACUCCCCGGCGAGGCGGAGGCCCAGCCCGCUCCCGCGCGCCGGAAGGCCUGUGCGGACGCCCGCGCCCUGCGACAUUGGGGCUUGAACAAGGAACUUGGGACAGUUCUCAUUUGUCUUUUUGGAUCAUGGCUGGUACUAAACCACUUGAGACAUAUCUGUAGUCCAGCUUCUUUUUCCCUGGCAAUUGAAGCACCCACCAAUACUGACAUUUAUUGCAAAAAAGUUACCAUCCAGAAUCAACUCCCAUCAAGCAAAUGGAUUCCUGUCAUCAUUUCCUGUUUGACACAAGUCCAUGGAUCCCAGCCAGAAAGUUCUUGGUCUUGUUCAAGAAAGAAUUCAAGGACACAGAGGAGGAAGCUUAUUAAUGUCAAGUCAAAGCAGAGCAGAAAUGCUCUCUGGAGAGGACAGUGAACAGGCUUAGGAAGGAGCUCAGCUGGAGGUCCCAAGACCUCAGGCUUCUGUUGGAGUCUGAGGACAUGGAGGUGGUCAGCACUGGGGAACCAGAUGUAUCACUCCAGAGUGACAUAUAUGUCAUCAACUCCUCCCACUUACUGGUGGGGGAAAAUCUGAGCCUUACAUGCUCAGAGACUAUCAAAGACCACGGGGUGGAAUGGGGGGCUAGUGUAAGGUUGUGCUGCUUUGAUUGCCUAUUGUCGUGCAGAAAGGUCAAGACUAUUUGAUGUUCCCAGAGGUCUUGUUUACCCACAGCACUGAAUAACAGCAUCCAUUUUGAUCUUUGCCCACCAGAGUACACAAUAGCUUGUUUUCAUUGGUCUGUCUGAUGGAAGUGGAGCACCUCUUGGGGUCAAUGUGAUUUCUUGCCUGGGAUUUGCCCAAGCCUGCUAGUCCUGUGCUGUCCUUCCUGGUGGCUUCCUUUUGGUUGGGAAGGGUCUUAGAUUUGAGGCACCCAGCCUCACAGGCAUACACAUUCAUUGUUCUUUGUCUUUUGACAUCCUGGCAUCUUUUUUUGUCCAGAAAAAGAUUGAGGGUUGUUUUUUGGUGCCAGUCCUGGGGCUUUAAUUCAGGGCCUGGAUGCUGUCUGGGGGUUUGUUUUUGC
Molecule: long non-coding RNA, 1210 nt
Organism: Dipodomys spectabilis (banner-tailed kangaroo rat)
Lineage: Eukaryota; Metazoa; Chordata; Mammalia; Rodentia; Heteromyidae
Exons: 4
Source: RefSeq, a predicted model, not a curated record